RNAcentral lists this ribosomal RNA (436 nucleotides) under uncultured eukaryote. Its description in RNAcentral is "bacterial SSU rRNA". It matches the Rfam family "Eukaryotic small subunit ribosomal RNA", at positions 592 to 1018 of the family's 1831-position model. The record is from RNAcentral.
CAAUAGCGUAUACUAAAGUUGUUGCGGUUAAAAAGCUCGUAGUCGGAUUUAGGUCCCGAUCGGGCGCAUAUGCCCCCCUUGCGGGUGGGGCGUGAGUUGCGCUCCGGUCGGGUCUCCCUCCUGGAUCGGCACGUCGCACUUCGCUGUGUGCGUUCAGUUUCGGGCCUUUACUUUGAGGAAAAUAGAGUGUUUCAAGCGGGCGCGCGCCUUGAAUACAUUAGCAUGGAAUAAUACUUUUGGACCUCGGUUCAAUGUCGUUGGUUUCUUGGGCGUGGGGUAGGAGCUCAAUAGGGAGUGGUCGGGGGCGAUUCGUACUUAACUGUCAGAGGUGAAAUUCUUGGAUCUGUUAAAGACGGACCGCUGCGAAAGCAUCUGCCAAGCACGUCUUCUUUGAUCAAGAACGAAAGUUAGGGGAUCGAAGAUGAUCAGAUACCGU